UUUGACAUGGAAUCGACGGCGGCGAUGCGUCGUCGUGGCACCAACCAACGGACGCGAGCUUUGAACAAGAGCGCAAGCGCGGGCCGUUUGACGAGACAGUCGCCGCAGCGGAUACAACACCUCGCUCAAGAGACUGAAGUGGUGGACAGCUUGCUGUGAAAGAUGGAAGCGUUCUUCCUGCAAGUCUGGACAAGGCCAUAUUAAAUGGCUUCAUCUGUCACAAAUCGCUGGCCACGAAUGUAAAGAAUACCUUGGCCCCACUUCUGUCGAGGGAACCGAAGUUGCCUGAACAGAUGAAGAGGGGUGGUGCUACCAAUAGUGAACGACUGUGAUUUUAUAAUGUGCAAGUGUAUGAAAAAUCUUGUUACACUAAUUUAACGUUAAUUGCAUUCAC
This is a long non-coding RNA of Rhipicephalus sanguineus (brown dog tick), 394 nucleotides long. RefSeq lists it as uncharacterized. The record is from RefSeq and is a predicted model, not a curated record. Lineage: Eukaryota; Metazoa; Arthropoda; Arachnida; Ixodida; Ixodidae. The transcript has 3 exons.